RNAcentral lists this ribosomal RNA (2755 nucleotides) under Bauldia litoralis. Its description in RNAcentral is "bacterial LSU rRNA". It matches the Rfam family "Bacterial large subunit ribosomal RNA". Lineage: Bacteria; Pseudomonadati; Pseudomonadota; Alphaproteobacteria; Hyphomicrobiales; Kaistiaceae. The record is from RNAcentral.
GAUCAAGUGCCUUAAGGGCAUUCGGUGGAUGCCUUGGCGCUGAGAGGCGAUGAAGGACGUGGUACGCUGCGAAAAGCUACGGGGAGGUGCGAACAACCUUUGAUCCGUGGAUAUCCGAAUGGGGAAACCCACCGCUUAGGCGGUAUUGUCAUCUGAAUACAUAGGAUGGCAAGGCGAACCCGGGGAACUGAAACAUCUAAGUACCCGGAGGAAAGGACAUCAACCGAGACUCCGUUAGUAGCGGCGAGCGAACGCGGACCAGGCCAGUGGCGAAUGCAAGACAACCGGAACUGCUUGGAAAGGCAGGCCUUAGUGGGUGAUAGCCCCGUACGGGUAAUGCUUGCAUGCGUCCUUGAGUAGGGCGGGACACGUGAAAUCCUGUCUGAACUUGGGGGGACCACCCUCCAAGCCUAAGUACUCCUCAGCGACCGAUAGCGAACAAGUACCGUGAGGGAAAGGUGAAAAGCACCCCGACAAGGGGAGUGAAAGAGUCCCUGAAACCGGAUGCCUACAAACAGUAGGAGCCCAAGGUUCGUCCUGGGUGACUGCGUACCUUUUGUAUAAUGGGUCAGCGACUUAGUCUGGCGAGCAAGCUUAAACCGAUAGGUGUAGGCGUAGCGAAAGCGAGUCUGAACAGGGCGUUCAGUUCGUCGGAUUAGACCCGAAACCGGUGUGAUCUAGCCAUGAGCAGGUUGAAGGUGCGGUAACACGCACUGAAGGACCGAACCCACGUCUGUUGAAAAAGACGGGGAUGACUUGUGGCUAGGGGUGAAAGGCCAAUCAAACCCGGAAAUAGCUGGUUCUCCGCGAAAUCUAUUUAGGUAGAGCGUCGGAUUAAUACUCUCGGGGGUAGAGCACUGGAUGGGCUAGGGGGUCCCACAGACUUACCAAACCUAACCAAACUCCGAAUACCGAGAAGUACUAUCCGGCAGACACACUGCGGGUGCUAACGUCCGUAGUGGAGAGGGAAACAACCCUGACCAACAGCUAAGGCCCCCAAAUCACGACUAAGUGUGAAAGGAUGUGGCGAUCCCAAAACAACCAGGAUGUUGGCUUAGAAGCAGCCAUCAUUUAAAGAAAGCGUAACAGCUCACUGGUCUAAAUAAGGGUUGCCGCGCCGACAAUGUAACGGGGCUCAAGUCGUGUGCCGAAGCUUUGGGUUCACUCCGCAAGGGGUGAGCGGUAGCGGAGCGUUCCGUAAGCCAGUGAAGGGAGACUCGUGAGAGCUCCUGGAGGUAUCGGAAGUGCGAAUGCUGACAUGAGUAACGAGAACAGUGUGAGAAACACUGUCGCCGUAAGUCCAAGGGUUCCUGCGCAAUGCUAAUCAGCGCAGGGUUAGCCGGCUCCUAAGGCGAGGCCGAAAGGCGUAGUCGAUGGGAAUCAGGUAAAUAUUCCUGAGCCUGCGGGUGGUGACGGAUUCCGUGUAUCGUCAAUCCUUAUUGGAUUGGGUUGGCGAUGAAGGAGUUCCAGGAAAUAGCCCCCGCGUAUAGACCGUACCCCAAACCGACACAGGUGGACUGGUAGAGCAUACCAAGGCGCUUGAGAGAACGAUGCUGAAGGAACUCGGCAAAUUGCCUCCGUAACUUCGGAAGAAGGAGGACCUUUGCUUGGGCAACCAGGCAAAGGUGGCACAGACCAGGGGGUAGCGACUGUUUAACAAAAACACAGGGCUCUGCGAAAUCGCAAGAUGACGUAUAGGGCCUGACGCCUGCCCGGUGCCGGAAGGUUAAGAGGAGGGGUGCAAGCUCUGAAUCGAAGCCCCGGUAAACGGCGGCCGUAACUAUAACGGUCCUAAGGUAGCGAAAUUCCUUGUCGGGUAAGUUCCGACCUGCACGAAUGGCGUAACGACUUCCCCGCUGUCUCCAGCAUCGACUCAGUGAAAUUGAAUUCCCCGUGAAGAUGCGGGGUUCCUGCGGUUAGACGGAAAGACCCCGUGCACCUUUACUACAGCUUUGCACUGGCAUUCGUGACGACUUGUGUAGGAUAGGUGGUAGACUUUGAAGCUUGGGCGCUAGCUCAGGUGGAGUCACCCUUGAAAUACCACCCUUGUUGUUAUGCAUGUCUAACCGCGGCCCGUUAUCCGGGUCCGGGACAUUGCAUGGUGGGUAGUUUGACUGGGGCGGUCGCCUCCCAAACAGUAACGGAGGCGCGCGAUGGUGGGCUCAGAGCGGUCGGAAAUCGCUCGUUGAGUGCAAUGGCAUAAGCCCGCCUGACUGCGAGACUGACAAGUCGAGCAGAGUCGAAAGACGGCCAUAGUGAUCCGGUGGUUCCUUGUGGAAGGGCCAUCGCUCAACGGAUAAAAGGUACGCCGGGGAUAACAGGCUGAUGAUGCCCAAGAGUCCAUAUCGACGGCAUCGUUUGGCACCUCGAUGUCGACUCAUCACAUCCUGGGGCUGGAGCAGGUCCCAAGGGUUCGGCUGUUCGCCGAUUAAAGUGGUACGUGAGUUGGGUUCAGAACGUCGUGAGACAGUUCGGUCCCUAUCUGCCGUGGGUGUAGGAGAAUUGAGAGGAUCUGUCCUUAGUACGAGAGGACCGGGAUGGACGUACCUAUGGUGGACCUGUUGUGGCGCCAGCCGCAUAGCAGGGUAGCUAAGUACGGACGGGAUAACCGCUGAAAGCAUCUAAGCGGGAAACCCACCUCAAAACUAGUUCUCCCUUGAGAGCCGUGGAAGACCACCACGUUGAUAGGCCGGGUGUGGAAGUGCGGCAACGCAUGAAGCUUACCGGUACUAAUAGCUCGAUUGGCUUGAUCACU